UUUUAUUUGAGAGUUUGAUCCUGGCUCAGGAUGAACGCUGGCGGCGUGCCUAACACAUGCAAGUUGAGCGAUUUACUUCGGUAAAGAGCGGCGGACGGGUGAGUAACGCGUGGGUAACCUACCCUGUACACACGGAUAACAUACCGAAAGGUAUGCUAAUACGGGAUAAUAUAUUUGAGAGGCAUCUCUUGAAUAUCAAAGGUG
Molecule: ribosomal RNA, 204 nt
Filed under: Clostridioides difficile
Lineage: Bacteria; Bacillati; Bacillota; Clostridia; Peptostreptococcales; Peptostreptococcaceae
Description: partial 16S ribosomal RNA
Rfam family: Bacterial small subunit ribosomal RNA
Source: RNAcentral